This is a long non-coding RNA of Aricia agestis (brown argus), 968 nucleotides long. RefSeq lists it as uncharacterized. The transcript has 2 exons. The record is from RefSeq and is a predicted model, not a curated record. NCBI's taxonomy places the organism in Eukaryota, Metazoa, Arthropoda, Insecta, Lepidoptera, Lycaenidae.
GCAGCACGUGAUUGCCACUGCCAUGCCUCGCGCUAACGGCCAGGUGGAGCGAUAUAACCAGACCAUUUUAGAGGCUCUACGCAGUAUGGGUGCGGAUAUCGACUCAAAUAAAUGGGAUUCGUGUAUUGGUCAAAUUCAGCAUGGUAUUAAUUCUACUAAGUAUAAACAAAACUACCUCAGCUGUUCCCAGCGAAGUGUUCUUUGGAUAUAGAUUAAAGCUUGAUUCGGACAAAAUGUCUAGUGAUAUUCAGGAGUCUGUAAUUGGCGUUACUAGUUUAAGAGAGUCGGUAGAUAAAAAUAUUCAAAAAUGCGCCGAAAAACAGAAGGAAUCGUUCGACACCAAGAGGAAAAAUGCACCUGUGUACGGUGUAGGCGAUCUCGUCGUUGUCAAGAUUCCUAGCCAAAGUAAUGAAGGGCAAAGCACCAAAUUAUUACCAUUGUAAAAAGGACCUUUUCAAAUUGCAGAAGUUCUAGGGCACGAUCGUUAUAAAGUAGUGGAUAUGAGGGGUGCUGAAAGGUCUUCCAGGCGAUAUGAAGGCAUCGCCUGCGUUGAGAAUAUCAAGCCGUGGAUAAAAAUAAUCGAACUUGAGCAUUAGACAUGGCUUUGGAGAAAGACCUGGAUGUUGUCAGAUGCACCAGGCACCAACGCAGUCGAGGACGAAUGCGUAUGCAGGAAGGCCGGAUGUUGUCGCUCGUUUUUUCAAGUUUAGAUUUAGUCUAUGGUUAAGUAAUUUGAACCUUUUUUGUUGAUUUAUUCUUCUUCUAAUUUUAAAAAUCUGACAUGUUCUUUGGAAUUGAUGUUUACAAGAGAAAAAUUAGAUUAUUAUAAUUAUUGCUGGCGGAUUCUGGAAGAAAACAGCAACUCGUAUGUAAAUUAGUAAGUGGUAAUUUGGCGAAUGUAAGUACAAAUUGGCUAACGUGUAUUAUUAACAAGACGGUUGGUAAUAAAAGUGUAUACAAAUUAUUAA